AACUGAUACUACCUGCGGGAACCUGCGGAGGGAUCAUUAACGAGUUUUGAAGUGGGAUUGAUGCUGGCCUUCCGAGGCAUGUGCUCGUCCUCGCUCAUCCACUCACAACACCUGUGCACUGUUGAGGUGUGGCCCCCCUUCAAUGGAGCCGCUCCCCCCUAGGGGGUCGAGCCGGGGUCAGGCCUUCUUCGUCACAAACAACUUGUAAUGUCUAUUCGGAAUGUAAUGCUUCAUGUUAAU
This 240-nucleotide unclassified non-coding RNA is filed under the name soil metagenome. RNAcentral describes it as "partial contains 5.8S ribosomal RNA, internal transcribed spacer 2, and large subunit ribosomal RNA". The record is from RNAcentral.